RNAcentral lists this long non-coding RNA (343 nucleotides) under Ananas comosus (pineapple). RNAcentral's name for it is "long non-coding RNA (ACOM_LNC029428)". Lineage: Eukaryota; Viridiplantae; Streptophyta; Magnoliopsida; Poales; Bromeliaceae. The record is from RNAcentral.
CACUCCUUCAGUCACUCACUCCAUUCCAGGAGGAGUCAAAACUAUGCAAUCAUUGACUUUCGCGAUAAAUCACGCCUCUCGCGUCUUGCCCUCCUAAGGUUUGCCAAACUUAGGGUCCAUAGGUCCCAACGACCUAAUACUAAGCUCUGAUACCAACUUAUUCUGUCACGCCACGGAUUUCUCGUUCCCCCGGCACGCCGACAAAUCCGCCAUAUACAAAGAAAUUUUUUCUGUAUACGAAGCAAUAGAUGUACCUGCAAAUAUACAACACUACAACCAGUAGUAUAGAGCUGCUAAAAGAACAAGUAUAUAAAAUCAUGGAUCAGUACAUACACAGUAUCCU